RNAcentral lists this unclassified non-coding RNA (598 nucleotides) under Aspergillus sp. FLN9a. Its description in RNAcentral is "sequence contains 18S rRNA gene, ITS1, 5.8S rRNA gene, ITS2 and 28S rRNA gene". The record is from RNAcentral. Lineage: Eukaryota; Fungi; Ascomycota; Eurotiomycetes; Eurotiales; Aspergillaceae.
UCCUCCGCUUAUUGAUAUGCUUAAGUUCAGCGGGUAUCCCUACCUGAUCCGAGGUCAACCUUAGAAAAAUAAAGUUGGGUGUCGGCUGGCGCCGGCCGGGCCUACAGAGCAGGUGACAAAGCCCCAUACGCUCGAGGACCGGACGCGGUGCCGCCGCUGCCUUUCGGGCCCGUCCCCCGGGAGAGGGGGACGGGGGCCCAACACACAAGCCGUGCUUGAGGGCAGCAAUGACGCUCGGACAGGCAUGCCCCCCGGAAUACCAGGGGGCGCAAUGUGCGUUCAAAGACUCGACGAUUCACUGAAUUCUGCAAUUCACAUUACUUAUCGCAUUUCGCUGCGUUCUUCAUCGAUGCCGGAACCAAGAGAUCCGUUGUUGAAAGUUUUAACUGAUUACGAUAAUCAACUCAGACUGCAUACUUUCAGAACAGCGUUCAUGUUGGGGUCUUCGGCGGGCGCGGGCCCGGGGGCGCAAGGCCUCCCCGGCGGCCGUCGAAACGGCGGGCCCGCCGAAGCAACAAGGUACGAUAGACACGGGUGGGAGGUUGGACCCAGAGGGCCCUCACUCGGUAAUGAUCCUUCCGCAAGGUUCACCUACGGA